AUUGAACGCUGGCGGCAGGCCUAACACAUGCAAGUCGAGCGGAUGAAGGGAGCUUGCUCCUGGAUUCAGCGGCGGACGGGUGAGUAAUGCCUAGGAAUCUGCCUGGUAGUGGGGGAUAACGUCCGGAAACGGGCGCUAAUACCGCAUACGUCCUGAGGGAGAAAGUGGGGGAUCUUCGGACCUCACGCUAUCAGAUGAGCCUAGGUCGGAUUAGCUAGUUGGUGGGGUAAAGGCCUACCAAGGCGACGAUCCGUAACUGGUCUGAGAGGAUGAUCAGUCACACUGGAACUGAGACACGGUCCAGACUCCUACGGGAGGCAGCAGUGGGGAAUAUUGGACAAUGGGCGAAAGCCUGAUCCAGCCAUGCCGCGUGUGUGAAGAAGGUCUUCGGAUUGGAAAGCACUUUAAGUUGGGAGGAAGGGCAGUAAGUUAAGACCUUGCUGUUUUGACGUUACCAGCAGAAUAAGCACCGGCUAACUUCGUG
Molecule: ribosomal RNA, 484 nt
Filed under: uncultured bacterium
Lineage: Bacteria
Description: partial 16S ribosomal RNA
Rfam family: Bacterial small subunit ribosomal RNA
Source: RNAcentral